CCUACGGGAGGCAGCAGUGGGGAAUAUUGCACAAUGGGGGAAACCCUGAUGCAGCAACGCCGCGUGAGUGAUGAAGGCCUUCGGGUUGUAAAGCUCUGUCUUCAGGGACGAUAAUGACGGUUGCUGAGGAGGAAGCAACGGCUAACUCCGUGCCAGCAGCCGCGGUAAUACGGCGGUGGCGAGCGUUGACCGGAUUUACUGGGCGGAAAGGGAGCGUAGGCGGACUUUUAAGUGAGAUGUGAAAUACUCGCGCUCAACUUGGGAGCUGCAUUUCAAACUGGAAGUCUAGAGUGCAGGAGAGGAGAAUGGAAUUCCUAGUGUAGCGGUGAAAUGCGUAGAGAUUAGGAAGAACAUCAGUGGCGAAGGCGAUUCUCUGGAAUGUAACUGACGCUGAGGCUCGAAAGCGUGGGGAGCAAACAGGAUUAGAUACCCCAGUAGUC
RNAcentral lists this ribosomal RNA (440 nucleotides) under uncultured bacterium. RNAcentral's name for it is "partial 16S ribosomal RNA". It matches the Rfam family "Bacterial small subunit ribosomal RNA", at positions 338 to 795 of the family's 1533-position model. The record is from RNAcentral.